ACACAUGCAGUCGACGGCAGCGGGGAGUAGCUUGCUACUCUGCCGGCGAGUGGCGGACGGGUGAGUAAUGCCUGGGGAGCUGCCCAAUCGAGGGGGAUACCAGUUGGAAACGACUGCUAAUACCGCAUACGCCCUGAGGGGGAAAGGUGGGGAUCUUCGGACCUAUCGCGAUUGGAUGCACCCAGGUGGGAUUAGCUAGUUGGUGAGGUAACGGCUCACCAAGGCGACGAUCUCUAGCUGGUCUGAGAGGAUGACCAGCCACACUGGAACUGAGACACGGUCCAGACUCCUACGGGAGGCAGCAGUGGGGAAUAUUGCACAAUGGGGGAAACCCUGAUGCAGCCAUGCCGCGUGUGUGAAGAAGGCCUUCGGGUUGUAAAGCACUUUCAGUCAGGAGGAAAGGUGGCUAGCUAAUAUCUAGUUGCUGUGACGUUACUGACAGAAGAAGCACCGGCUAACUCCGUGCCAGCAGCCGCGGUAAUACGGAGGGUGCAAGCGUUAAUCGGAAUUACUGGGCGUAAAGCGCACGCAGGCGGCUUGUUAAGUCAGAUGUGAAAGCCCCGGGCUCAACCUGGGAACUGCAUUUGAAACUGACAAGCUAGAGUCUUGUAGAGGGGGGUAGAAUUCCAGGUGUAGCGGUGAAAUGCGUAGAGAUCUGGAGGAAUACCGG
RNAcentral lists this ribosomal RNA (670 nucleotides) under uncultured bacterium. RNAcentral describes it as "bacterial SSU rRNA". It matches the Rfam family "Bacterial small subunit ribosomal RNA", at positions 51 to 712 of the family's 1533-position model. The record is from RNAcentral.